UGGGGAAUAUUGGACAAUGGGCGCAAGCCUGAUCCAGCAAUGCCGCGUGAGUGAUGAAGGCCUUAGGGUUGUAAAGCUCUUUUACCAGGGAUGAUAAUGACAGUACCUGGAGAAUAAGCUCCGGCUAACUCCGUGCCAGCAGCCGCGGUAAUACGGAGGGAGCUAGCGUUGUUCGGAAUUACUGGGCGUAAAGCGUACGUAGGCGGUGACUCAAGUCAGAGGUGAAAGCCUGGAGCUCAACUCCAGAACUGCCUUUGAAACUAGGUCGCUAGAAUCACGGAGAGGUGAGUGGAAUUCCGAGUGUAGAGGUGAAAUUCGUAGAUAUUCGGAAGAACACCAGUGGCGAAGGCGGCUCACUGGACGUGUAUUGACGCUGAGGUACGAAAGCGUGGGGAGCAAACAGGAUUAGAUACCCUUGUAGUCCCUGAGCGGGCUGGCAAGGCGCAU
RNAcentral lists this ribosomal RNA (447 nucleotides) under uncultured bacterium. RNAcentral's name for it is "bacterial SSU rRNA". It matches the Rfam family "Bacterial small subunit ribosomal RNA", at positions 355 to 825 of the family's 1533-position model. The record is from RNAcentral.